AACGAACGCUGGCGGCGCGCCUAAUACAUGCAAGUCGAGCGAGAAAGUGUAGCAAUACACUUGUAAAGCGGCGAACGGGUGAGGAAUACAUGGGUAAUCUACCAUCGAGUGGGGAAUAACCAACCGAAAGGUUGGCUAAUACCGCGUACGCCUCCGAGUCUUCGGGUUCGGAGGGAAAGCUGCACUGUGAGUGUAGCGCUCUUUGAUGAGCUCAUGUCCUAUCAGCUUGUUGGUAGGGUAAUGGCCUACCAAGGCUUUGACGGGUAGCUGGUCUGAGAGGACGAUCAGCCACACUGGAACUGAGACACGGUCCAGACUCCUACGGGAGGCAGCAGUGGGGAAUCUUGCGCAAUGGGGGAAACCCUGACGCAGCGACGCCGCGUGAGUGAUGAAGGCCUUCGGUUGUAAGCUCUUUCAGGUCGGAAGAAACGACAUAGGUUAAUACCUUAGUGUGGAUGACGGUA
RNAcentral lists this ribosomal RNA (464 nucleotides) under uncultured bacterium. RNAcentral's name for it is "bacterial SSU rRNA". It matches the Rfam family "Bacterial small subunit ribosomal RNA", at positions 29 to 477 of the family's 1533-position model. The record is from RNAcentral.